UACGUAGGGUGCGAGCGUUUGUCCGGAAUUACUGGGCGUAAAGAGCUCGUAGGUGGUUUGUCGCGUUGUUCGUGAAAUCUCACGGCUUAACUGUGAGCGUGCGGGCGAUACGGGCAGACUAGAGUACUGCAGGGGGAGACUGGAAUUCCUGGUGUAGCGGUGGAAUGCGCAGAUAUCAGGAGGAACACCGGUGGCGAAGGCGGGUCUCUGGGCAGUAACUGACGCUGAGGAGCGAAAGCGUGGGGAGCGAACAGG
Molecule: ribosomal RNA, 255 nt
Filed under: uncultured bacterium
Lineage: Bacteria
Description: partial 16S ribosomal RNA
Rfam family: Bacterial small subunit ribosomal RNA
Source: RNAcentral